RNAcentral lists this transfer RNA (73 nucleotides) under Ailuropoda melanoleuca (giant panda). It matches the Rfam family "tRNA". Rfam says of the family: Transfer RNA (tRNA) molecules are approximately 80 nucleotides in length. Their secondary structure includes four short double-helical elements and three loops (D, anti-codon, and T loops). Further hydrogen bonds mediate the characteristic L-shaped molecular structure. tRNAs have two regions of fundamental functional importance: the anti-codon, which is responsible for specific mRNA codon recognition, and the 3' end, to which the tRNAs corresponding amino acid is attached (by aminoacyl-tRNA synthetases). tRNAs cope with the degeneracy of the genetic code in two manners: having more than one tRNA (with a specific anti-codon) for a particular amino acid; and 'wobble' base-pairing, i.e. permitting non-standard base-pairing at the 3rd anti-codon position. Lineage: Eukaryota; Metazoa; Chordata; Mammalia; Carnivora; Ursidae. The record is from Rfam by way of RNAcentral.
AGCAGGGCAGUAGAAUGGAAACAAUAGGUGUUUUGGAACCUUAUUGACCCAGGUUCAAUCCCUGGCUCUGCUA